UCCUAUUCUCUCGCAGGCCGGUUUUUCUUCCGCCUCUCUGGGGAUUUUCGCGUUGGUUCUCCCUGCCCCCAGGAGUGAGGCGGGUAACGCCCACGCCUACCUCCGGUGCUGGGGGAAAAGAUUACUUCCCAGAUGCAGUAUUUACAUCUCCUCCGCCCUACUCUUCCAACUCUGCCUGAAAUAAGUGUGGUUCUCCUGUCUGUCAGACUAUGAAGAGUUCUCAAAUAUGUCUUUCCCAGCGAGGGAGAGGAGACAACAGAAACUUCAGCCUCCACGAUCGAUGUUUCUCAAGUGUCAAGGAAAAUGGAGCCUAGGAGGGCAGCCCCACAAGCAGCGUGAUGGGCAUUUAAGCCGACGCAUGUGCCAGGUCCUAGAACAGAGUAACUUCCCCAUCUCAACACAAUAAAAUGGUG
This 413-nucleotide long non-coding RNA is filed under the name Pan troglodytes (chimpanzee). Its description in RNAcentral is "lncRNA (ENSPTRG00000053125.1)". Lineage: Eukaryota; Metazoa; Chordata; Mammalia; Primates; Hominidae. The record is from RNAcentral.